AUUGAACGCUGGCGGCAUGCCUUACACAUGCAAGUCGAACGGCAGCACGGGUGCUUGCACCUGGUGGCGAGUGGCGAAAGGGUGAGUAAUACGUCGGAACAUGUCCUGUAGUGGGGGAUAGCCCGGCGAAAGCCGGAUUAAUACCGCAUACGAUCUACGGAUGAAAGCGGGGGACCUUCGGGCCUCGCGCUAUAGGGUUGGCCGAUGGCUGAUUAGCUAGUUGGGGGGGUAAAGGCCUACCAAGGCGACGAUCAGUAGCUGGUCUGAGAGGACGACCAGCCACACUGGGACUGAGACACGGCCCAGACUCCUACGGGAGGCAGCAGUGGGGAAUUUUGGACAAUGGGCGAAAGCCUGAUCCAGCAAUGCCGCGUGUGUGAAGAAGGCCUUCGGGUUGUAAAGCACUUUUGUCCGGAAAGAAAUCCUUGGCCCUAAUACGGUCGGGGGAUGACGGUACCGGAAGAAUAAGCACCGGCUAACUACGUG
This 486-nucleotide ribosomal RNA is filed under the name uncultured bacterium. RNAcentral describes it as "partial 16S ribosomal RNA". It matches the Rfam family "Bacterial small subunit ribosomal RNA", at positions 30 to 507 of the family's 1533-position model. The record is from RNAcentral.